AACAGCUGGGUCGAAACGCAUAAUAUUUUCCUGCUAGAGAAAGACGCUGAUUAGGCUGUGGAGUACCUAAUUGGGAAGUUCAUAUGAAGUUUCUGAACCUCCACUUUGGCCCUUAGGGAGAAACAGCCCGGAAAUAAGGUGAAAGUGUUCUGAAAGAAACGAGGAAAUCUCAAAAGGGAAAAAAAAUCGCACAUUAUAGAAAUGCUGAUGUGGACAGUGACACUUCCAAUCCAGCCUGUGACAUCUGCCUUGAAACAUGGUGGGUCAGCCAGGAGGUGAGGAGGUGGGGA
Molecule: long non-coding RNA, 290 nt
Filed under: Coturnix japonica (Japanese quail)
Lineage: Eukaryota; Metazoa; Chordata; Aves; Galliformes; Phasianidae
Description: lncRNA (ENSCJPG00005001307.1)
Source: RNAcentral